RNAcentral lists this ribosomal RNA (484 nucleotides) under uncultured bacterium. RNAcentral describes it as "partial 16S ribosomal RNA". It matches the Rfam family "Bacterial small subunit ribosomal RNA", at positions 30 to 507 of the family's 1533-position model. The record is from RNAcentral.
AUUGAACGCUGGCGGCAGGCCUAACACAUGCAAGUCGAGCGGAUGAAGGGAGCUUGCUCCUGGAUUCAGCGGCGGACGGGUGAGUAAUGCCUAGGAAUCUGCCUGGUAGUGGGGGAUAACGUCCGGAAACGGGCGCUAAUACCGCAUACGUCCUGAGGGAGAAAGUGGGGGAUCUUCGGACCUCACGCUAUCAGAUGAGCCUAGGUCGGAUUAGCUAGUUGGUGGGGUAAAGGCCUACUAAGGCGACGAUCCGUAACUGGUCUGAGUGGAUGAUCAGUCACACUGGAGCUGAGACACGGUCCAGACGCCUACGGGAGGCAGCAGUCGGGAAUAGUAGACAAUGGGCGAAAGCCUGAUCCAGCCAUGCCGCGUGUGUGAAGAAGGUCUUCGGAUUGUAAAGCACUUUAAGUUGGGAGGAAGGGCAGUAAGUUAAUACCUUGCUGUAUUGACGUUACCAACAGAAUAAGCACCGGCUAACUUCGUG